GACGAACGCUGGCGGCGUGCUUAACACAUGUAAGUCGAACGGAAAGGCCCUGCUUUUGUGGGGUGCUCGAGUGGCGAACGGGUGAGUAACACGUGAGUAACCUGCCCUUGACUUUGGGAUAACUUCAGGAAACUGGGGCUAAUACCGGAUAGGAGCUCCUGCUGCAUGGUGGGGGUUGGAAAGUUUCGGCGGUUGGGGAUGGACUCGCGGCUUAUCAGCUUGUUGGUGGGGUAGUGGCUUACCAAGGCUUUGACGGGUAGCCGGCCUGAGAGGGUGACCGGCCACAUUGGGACUGAGAUACGGCCCAGACUCCUACGGGAGGCAGCAGUGAGGAAUAUUGCACAAUGGGCGGAAGCCUGAUGCAGCAACGCCGCGUGCGGGAUGACGGCCUUCGGGUUGUAAACCGCUUUCGCCUGUGACGAAGCGUGAGUGACGGUAAUGGGUAAAGAAGCACCGGCUAACUACGUG
This 468-nucleotide ribosomal RNA is filed under the name uncultured bacterium. RNAcentral's name for it is "partial 16S ribosomal RNA". It matches the Rfam family "Bacterial small subunit ribosomal RNA", at positions 28 to 507 of the family's 1533-position model. The record is from RNAcentral.